This 380-nucleotide ribosomal RNA is filed under the name uncultured eukaryote. Its description in RNAcentral is "partial 18S ribosomal RNA". It matches the Rfam family "Eukaryotic small subunit ribosomal RNA", at positions 592 to 976 of the family's 1831-position model. The record is from RNAcentral.
CAAUAGCGUAUAUUAAAGUUGUUGCGGUUAAAAAGCUCGUAGUUGGAUUUCUGCUGAGGACGAUCGGUCCGCCCACUGGGUGAGUAUCUGGCUCGGCCUUGGCAUCUUCUUGGAGAACGUUGCUGCACUUGACUGUGUGGUGCGGUAUCCAGGACUUUUACUUUGAGGAAAUUAGAGUGUUUCAAGCAGGCGCACGCCUUGAAUACAUUAGCAUGGAAUAAUAAGAUAGGACCUUAGUUCUAUUUUGUUGGUUUCUAGAGCUGAGGUAAUGAUUAAUAGGGAUAGUUGGGGGCAUUCGUAUUUAACUGUCAGAGGUGAAAUUCUUUGAUUUGUUAAAGACGGACUACUGCGAAAGCAUUUGCCAAGGAUGUUUUCAUUGA